UUUUUCCUACAAGUCACAUUUGAUCCCCUCUUUCCAAAAAUGUAACUUUCAUUCACCAAAACUUCACCAAGCAAAAUGGCCUUUUUGAACUUGCCUUAAUUAAUUUCAAGUGAGUUGAAUUUGACUUUUCAAAAUAAUCAUUUUUAAACCACUUGGCCAAUUGAAAUAGUUCAGAAAUGUGGUUUGUGUCAUGUUUGAAAGCCCAAAUUCGUGCAGUACAUACAGCCAUGCCAACUUGCUUGAAAAUUG
RNAcentral lists this long non-coding RNA (249 nucleotides) under Lathyrus oleraceus (garden pea). Its description in RNAcentral is "Pisum sativum (pea) long non-coding RNA (PSAT_LNC006368)". Lineage: Eukaryota; Viridiplantae; Streptophyta; Magnoliopsida; Fabales; Fabaceae. The record is from RNAcentral.